Molecule: transfer RNA, 76 nt
Filed under: Cylindrospermum stagnale PCC 7417
Lineage: Bacteria; Bacillati; Cyanobacteriota; Cyanophyceae; Nostocales; Nostocaceae
Description: tRNA-Leu (TAA) (tRNA-Leu-TAA-1-1)
Rfam family: tRNA
About the family: Transfer RNA (tRNA) molecules are approximately 80 nucleotides in length. Their secondary structure includes four short double-helical elements and three loops (D, anti-codon, and T loops).
Source: Rfam by way of RNAcentral
GCUCCUGUAGCCCAAUUGGCAUGAGGCGGCCGUCUUAAACACGGUUUAUGUGUGGGUUCGACUCCCACCAGGAGUA